CCUACGGGAGGCAGCAGUGGGGGAUAUUGCACAAUGGGGGGAACCCUGAUGCAGCGACGCCGCGUGGGUGAAGAAGCGCCUCGGCGCGUAAAGCUCUGUCAGCAGGGAAGAAAAUGACGGUACCUGAAGAAUAAGCCCCGCCUAACUAUGUGACAGCAGCCGCGGGAAUACGGAGGGGGCGAGCGUUAUCCGGAUUUACUGGGUGUAAAGGGGGCGUAGACGGGGAUGCAAGCCAGGGGUGAAAGCCAGGGGCCCAACCCCGGGACUGCUCUUGAAAAUGCGUGGCUGGAGUGCAGGAGAGGCAGGCGGAAUUCCUGGUGUAGCGGUGAAAUGCGUAGAUAUCAGGAAGAACACCGGUGGCGAAGGCGGACUACUGGACUGCAACUGACGUUGAGGCGCGAAAGCGUGGGGAGCAAACAGGAUUAGAUACCCCAGUAGUC
This 440-nucleotide ribosomal RNA is filed under the name uncultured bacterium. Its description in RNAcentral is "partial 16S ribosomal RNA". It matches the Rfam family "Bacterial small subunit ribosomal RNA", at positions 338 to 795 of the family's 1533-position model. The record is from RNAcentral.